GCGUCUCUAUGAUAGAGCCGGCCUGGGAGGCUGCAACGGCGGUGGGGGCUGUGGUAAGGCGCAGUGAGAGGUCCAACUUUUUUACUGGACUGAGAGGUUUUGGCCGCGGAGGGUCGCGAUGUCAGAGAAAAAACAGCCGGUAGACUUGGGUCUGCUGGAGGAGGACGACGAGUUCGAGGAGUUCCCUGCAGAAGACUGGGCUGGUUUAGAUGAAGAUGAAGAUGCACAUGUCUGGGAGGAUAAUUGGGAUGAUGACAAUGUAGAGGAUGACUUCUCCAAUCAGUUACGUGUUUUACCACCAGCCCAUACUGUCCUCUACACCUGAGCAGAAGACAAAGAUGAUUCAUAUGAAUAAGCUCUGGCCUUAAUAUUAUUCAUGGACUUUAGAUCAGAAAAAUAAGGAAUAUAAAACAUAAGUUUACUAAUGGGAAAACAAAAUUUUAUUAGCAUUAUGUGGAUUCACAUCCAGUUUCUUUCUUAUAUAGAUUUCUUUUUGGGGACUAAAGUAAAGCUAUUUGGUAGUAUUUUAAAUUGAUGUUUAGGCUUAUUAGCUCAAUUAUUUAUUGUGUUAUUUCUAAAAAUCAUCUGUUUCUUUAAUUUAUCAUGAAGAAUGUCUAGUGAUGUUGUUCUUUUGUGUUUCUUUAUAGAGCUGAACUAGAGAAACAUGGUUAUAAGAUGGAGACAUCAUAGCAUCCAGAAGUG
Molecule: RNA transcript, 702 nt
Organism: Orcinus orca (killer whale)
Lineage: Eukaryota; Metazoa; Chordata; Mammalia; Artiodactyla; Delphinidae
Gene: SEM1
Gene name: SEM1 26S proteasome subunit
Exons: 4
Source: RefSeq, a predicted model, not a curated record